GAGAAGAGUUAAAGAAACCAAAGAAACUGCUAAUAUCUUAAUCUGUAGUUAAAAUCCACAGUCUACUCA
RNAcentral lists this transfer RNA (69 nucleotides) under Ambystoma andersoni (Anderson's salamander). Its description in RNAcentral is "tRNA-Ser". The record is from RNAcentral. Lineage: Eukaryota; Metazoa; Chordata; Amphibia; Caudata; Ambystomatidae.